GCCCCCCUAGCUCAGCGGUAGAGCAACCCCACCAUGGGCCCUUCAAAGGUGCGGGGAGGUCGCUGGUUCGAAUCCAGCGGGGGGCUCCA
This 89-nucleotide transfer RNA is filed under the name Streptomyces phage AbbeyMikolon. Its description in RNAcentral is "tRNA-OTHER". It matches the Rfam family "tRNA". Rfam says of the family: Transfer RNA (tRNA) molecules are approximately 80 nucleotides in length. Their secondary structure includes four short double-helical elements and three loops (D, anti-codon, and T loops). The record is from RNAcentral. Lineage: Duplodnaviria; Heunggongvirae; Uroviricota; Caudoviricetes.